Molecule: long non-coding RNA, 1689 nt
Filed under: Olea europaea subsp. europaea
Lineage: Eukaryota; Viridiplantae; Streptophyta; Magnoliopsida; Lamiales; Oleaceae
Source: RNAcentral
UUUAUAUGUAUGUAUUCAAAAGAAUCAAUACUUUUGUCCCUUCAAAUAGAAAAGUGUGAUUUUAUAAAAGAGAAAUUUAUACAAUAAUCUAUUAUAAUGUAUGAAUUAUGAAGGAACCCAACCAGUUCAGUUCUCUCUCUCAAAUAAAAUAUUUUCAGUUUUAUAACUUUCAACCAAAACUGGUUUGAUUUAGUAACUAGAAACUCAAUCCAAACCGCCCAAUUUACUCCUAAAUUCAUGAGUUUUGAGGGAGAAAUUUGUUAAGUUUAAACAUAAGAUGUUACAAUCUACAAGGGGAUAGAACUAGAUUAGCAAAACUGAUUUUGAUUAGUACUCAUGGCUGAGAUAGGUAGCGGUUGAUUCGAUGUUAUCUUCGGUCAACCAUGUCACAAGAGCGAUUCAAUGGAUUAGCUAUGAUUUCUAUUGAAAAAAAUAUGUUGGAAAAACUUGAUUUCAGUAGGUUGAUUACUAAUUUUACAUCUCAAAAUGUGAGAAAGUUAAAUCUUAUGCUAGCUUUAUCUCUCGAAUUGUGAGAGAAGUUUUAUUUUGCUAUUCUAUCUCUUGAAUUGUAUAAAGUUUUCUUUUUAUUAUAAAGGUAUUAAUUAUUUAAAUAUUUACAUAUUAUUACACUUCUAAAAUAAAUAUUAUAUUGAAGGGCCUCAUAAUAACUACAUGCCUAGGGCCUCUAAAUUCUCAUGGCCGGCCUUGAGAAUUAGAAAGAGCAUUCAUCAAGCUAAUCAGGUGCUUUUCUUUUAUUCAUAUUGUUUGUUAUGAUUAAGUCCUUGGUAUCAUAGCAACCCUGUUCUAAUUAGUUCAUUAACGUUUUAUUUUGAAUUAGGCUAAACUUUUUUCAAUGGACAAUAUGUCAUCCCGUGGAUUAUCCCAUGAUUGCUAUAAGCACUACAAGUUGAAAAGGUAUAAAAAGUUUUAUAAAUGCGAUGGAUGCAAGAUGAAAGGGUUUGGAGAAAGAUACCAAUGCUCUCGCUGUGGCGACUGUCUCCACAGAGAAUGUAGGUACCCCAGAUCCACCAUUACUCACGAGAAUUUUCCUGGCUCUACUUUCAGAUUUUAUAGUAAACCAUGCACAAAACUGGAUAAAAACCAUCGCAGACAGUUUUCGAAGUGCUGCAAUGCAUGUGGAAAGGACAUAUGCGGUUUUAGCUACCACUGUGAAGAAGACAAGUUGGAUUUGCAUCCAUACUGUCGAAAACUUGAAGAUAAAAUAGUGUUUAAGCAUACGAUAUUUGAUCUUGUCACAGAGUCUUCGUCCAAGUGUGUUAAGUGCGGAAAGCAGAAGAUUGAAAAUAGUGAUGUUCAGGGCUGGUCUUAUGUUUCCCAGUGCAAAACGUAUGGUCUUCAUGUGUAUUGUAUGACUGAUAUGAUACAAGAGGCGUAUAUGAAGCAUGAGGAUUUGACAUUGAAGAAAAGUGAUUCACGAGAAUUAGUAAGAUAUAACGGAAAGGGAAAGGGUAAAAAUACCUUCGUCACCUGUGCCAAAUGGGUUAUCAAAAUUCUAUUUUCUACUCUUUUGGGUGAUAUUACGUUGCUGAUAUCCAAUUCCAUCGUGGAGUUUCUCUUUCUUUCCUUGCGACUUUAGUGUCUUUUUCUUCGUCUAUUUUUCAGUGUGGAUGGUGUAAAUAAGUAUUGAUUAAAUAAAUAAAUAACAUCAACCUAUUCAUUGUUUUGUCC